UUCGUUGUGUUUUUGAACGGUUUGCGCGAGAUAUUGGCAUGUAUUUGAAUCGACAACUCGUUAGUGGUCGCCGGAAUAGGUAGCCGACGGGGGCCGGCGCCGGUCGAGUGGGAUGACCGGUGGGCGGCAGUGGUCCGGCGACUUUCCUUGGGGCGGUCGAUACUUGCAGAGUAGUCGGCGUCAGUCCGACGAGGGAGUGGCAAGAGCCUCGGCGUGUCGCGGCUGCGGGAGAGAAGGGAUAGAAAGAGACGAUCAGAAAAGGGGCAGAAAAAAAAUUUAAAAAAAAAAGGAAAGAGAAAAGAAAGCACAAAAAAAGGGAAAAAAAAAAAAGGAAAAGAGAAACGGGCUUCGUUUUGGGCUGGUUUUUAAUUCGUGGGUUGUUUAGGUUGGGCUGGAAAUAGAAGUUAAAAAUUGACCCUCAAAUGGGCUAGACAAAUUGAAAAUGGGCUUUGGGCUGAGAAUUAUCCCUAUUUCUUUUUUUCUUUUUUCUUUUUAAAUUCGUGUGGUUUUUUUUUUUUUUAGUGGGCUGAACCCGGGUCUGGUCAGAGAGACCGGACCCGACCCGCUCGACCGGGUCAGACCCGGUCGGUUCAGAUUGGGCCCUACCCGGUCCGGCCCCUAAAAAUAAUAAUUUUUUAAAAAAAAAUUUCCGAAAACAAAUUAAAACAAAUUAAAAUAAAUUAAAAAUUAAAAAUUAAAAAUUUCGAAAAUCCAAAAAUGAUGGGGUUUGGUUAAGAAUUGAUAUGUUUGCAUUUUUAGUGUAAUUAGGCAUUUACUUGCUCGUAUUUUGAUUAUUUCAUAUGUUUAAUUUGCAUAUCUAAUUGUGUUUAAUUGCACGUGUUUAAUUUUAUUGCAAUUAGGGUCUUGAUAGCUAUGAUUGUUACUUUAAUGACUGUGCACCGCAUGAUCACCUCAUAUGUUAGUGGAUAUAUGCAAAAUCAAUCUAAACUGCUUGAUAAAAAUAUUUAACAGAUACAAUCUAAUUGAACAGGCCUAGUAAUAUCAUUUGAAUGUUUAUAAACAAGCUACUCCGGCAGAGACAUAAAUACACACAGAAUCAACUACUUGAUUAGGCUCUCCAGACAUCUGUUUCACAAUGUCGAAAGCCCGAAGUCAACUCAAACUUCUGCUCCAAUUACGUUUGUUCAGAAAUGAUAUAGGGUUGAGUUUGAUCUCCCCCGCAGUCAGUCUGCGAUCAUUAUUCAAACGGAUGGUGAUACCGCCAUGCUUUUCCCCAGCUGAAGAUUUAAUUUGGUCUUACAUGAUUGGAUUGGAAAUUUUAAAGAAAAUCUCUGCUGAGAAGGGAUUGUGCUAGUACUGAUUUAUUGCCGAUGCUCAUGUGUUCAUGAACCUUAUAGGUUGGUGAUACAGGUAUCCGCCCCAAAAGCCAAGGACCAUGAAACUUUGCUCAAAUUGAGGACGACUGUUUAAGCCGGUGCUCGCUUUAUAGAGUCGUGUCCUGCAUUUGCAAAACGUGGUCUCAGAAGAUCUUAAUGAUUAAAAGUUGACAACAGAGAUAGCAUGUCAUGUUGCGACCGUGUUUUCUUAUUGGCGGUCAUGCUGCGACCGUGUUUUCUUAUUGGCAUUUUGUCAAGAAGUUGUAAGUUAACUUUGCCAACCAUUUGUUUAUCAGCAAAAAAGUACACAAUUGAAAUCUUUCCUUUUGCAUCAUUGCGUGUAUUCAAGAAGAGGGCAAAGAUUUCUAUCCAAUAAUUUAUUAUGAUUAGCCAUCUAGAACUAAGCGAAGAUGAUUUUACCCUCAUAUAAGUUACAGAUUCGAUCGACAAAGAGUAGAUAAGAAUACUGUCAAACUUGAGGGGUAUCCAUACCGGUGAGAUAAAAGCGGUGUGUGAAACAUCAGGAUAUCCUUCGACAGAGGGCAAUUCUGAGUUCCGAUAACAGUUAAAUUCUCCUUCUGUUGUCGAUGUGAGCUUUCUUCGCUGCAGGUCCUGAGCGCGAAUGCUCACCACUUGAUUCAAUCUAAAACACGCAUUGGGAGGAAUAAUCAGAAUCAAAUGUUGUUUUAAACCAAGCCUGCAAGACCUAGUUUUUCACCUUAUUGAGCUUGUCUCUGACCAAUCGCGCUGUCUGAUUCAUCGAAUGGGAUUGAAAAUAAUCCUGACAUCCAUCGAAAUAGAAGAAAAUUGUGAGUUAGCCCCAGGACAAAAUGACAAUCUGAGACUUUCGCAUAUGGAUGCUGGAUCAAGCUUAUACGCAUUGAACAUAUAACGCAAGAUGAAGGCAAAUGUCUAAUUUCUCCCGAAGAAAAUGGUAAGGAAUGAUAAGAAUUGCCCUCCCAUUUAAUUCAUUCUAACAUAAAGGAACAGAGGAACUUUUGCAUCAAAUAUGUGAAUAUUAGAAAAUAUAUUUGUAGAACAUAAUUGAAAAGAACAACACCAAUGUUAAUUAGGUUGAGCACAUGCAGUCUACUGUGUAUAAUACUGACUUCUUGGUCAAAAUAUGCUACUGUCUUCUAAAUACAUGUGCAUAUCUGACAACUGACAUCAGAUAGUGCUAGCACACAAGCAAUAUGUGGUACUUUAAAUCAGCAAAGAAAUGUCUCCAAUUAUGCAUGGAGCAAAACGUGUCUCAAGAUAACCCAGUUUAAGCUAAUAUGACCAAAAAUAUGAACAGAGCAAGUUCGGCGGUCAUCUUAAUUGUUGUAUAAUAGGUAAAACUCCAAGUAGUUCCUUAUUUCAAUUUAAACCUCUAUUCCAUCAAUUGCAGAAAGCAGAACUAAAUUGGAGGGACCAUAUUGAUAUUUAGCAGUGUGAUAAAGUGACAUACCAGCUCCGAGGAAACCCUUGUAUAUGGAGAACUGUCAGCAUGAGGAAUGAGUGGUGAUGCACUGGCACCACAAAGAAAGUACGGUUGACUGCUAUUUAUGCAUGCUGAAAGCAUUAGAAGAACAGCAUUUCAAGGCUUUGUUAACAUACCGCUUGAUUGAAGAUCUGUUGGCCAACAGCACUAUUCUGCGAGGAACUUGCAUUAGCUGAAGACCUUACCUGACUGACACUGCUAGAGGUGGCAGUACCCUUGAAUCUUUCAGCUACAUGAGCAGACGCAAUAUGUAUUUAUCAUAUGAAAACUUGUGCCUAGAUCAAAAUCAGGAUUGUGCUCUCAACUGUAAAAGCUUACAGUUCAACCGAGUAAGAACUUCCUUUCUCCUAGCUUCUAACUUUUCUCUCGUAUCAGAGAGACUCUCAAAGUGGGAAGCAUAUGAAACUUGUAGUCUAUUCCCAUAGAAGGCAUACUCAUCCAACUUUUUUAAGUCGAACAAGGAUGUAAAAUUAAGGAUGCAAGAGCCAUUCUAUAUCCUGAAUAAAUAAACUUCAUGACAAAUAUGAAGACAACUGGAAUUCUGCACUUGAAGGAGCAAAUCCACUCACGUAGCAUUGCAGUCGAGACGGAACUUGAUCCAAUAAACAUCAGUGUAUGGCUCACAGUCUUCUUCAUCCAUUGGUUUACAUCUGAAGAAGCAACCAAAGAUCAAACCUAGAGAAUUUUGCUGUGAAAAUGAAUAAAAACUCAAAAUUAGAGAGUACCAACUGUUUAUGAUCAUGAUUCAUAAAUCUUUACUAAAAAAUCCGAGGACACAGGGAAAAAGAUACUAACUCUUCAACAUCACCAUAAGUGGCAAAGAGUUUCAACAGCUCAUCUCCACAUCCUAAUGCAGGUACAUUCCUCACGAUAAGGUACCUGUCAAGAAACAUGAAGGAAACAAAUAAGAACCAAAUCAAACCCACCCCUAACAAAAAGCAAACGACCUAUGUCAGAAGAAUCAACUCAAAAGCAUCUAACUCAUCUAUUGCAACGGCCUAUCAAAUGAAGAACCAUAACAAAAAGAUUUUAGGUUCAACACAGACCUCAAUUCAUCACAGACCAUGUACACGCAAAUUGUGGGAGGCUCAUCUUUGUACCGAGGCAUGCCCUGCUACUUCCUCGGAAAUCAGAAGCCGAGCAAUCUUUCGCCGGCAACGUGUGUGAGCCACUGGACCUCGAUGAUCAGCGCCGUCAGAGUAAGUCGUCGGUGGCGAUCAGAUCUUCCAUCGAAUGAAGUAGCUAUUAUUUUUGCCUUAUAUGCCAAUCUAUGAUGCAUUCAAAUUCCAAGAUGACUACAGAAGUUGCAUCCAAUCUGCUCCUAAGACAUUUUGAUAACAAGCGGCAUACAGCCAAAUCAGUCAGAGGUCUCCACUCACAAGGAUGCAUCAGUUUAGACGGUUUAGCUAUAAAUUUUAAAGUUGAAAAAGGAGCCUAAAAAGAGUGCUCAAGGCAUGAAAUCAAAAGACGAAAGCAGCAAAGGUGAAGAUCAUAUCAUCAAUAGUCUUGCAAAAGACAUGUUUCGGUACACUCUAGUUUGCAUUCAAGACAUUGAAGAGCGCAACAAACAAGGAUUGAACACGCAAUUUUCUGGUCACAACAAACUUAUGGUUGGGCAUAUGUACAUCUGCUGUUCCCUAAGACAACACCCAACACAUAUUUCACUCAAAUUGCGGGAAGUUGCGCAACAAAACAACUCAGGCCCUAAAACUGGAAAGAACAGAAACCCAUUUGAUUGAUCAGUUCACUUAGCGCGACAUGGCUCCCUCACAAGGGCGUGUGUAGUGUGUGUUCAGGAAUGGAGAAAUUUGACCACAAUAACCUUCUUGUUCCUCUCUACUUACACCCCCUCCAAGGCUGCAAUUUCUCCAUUCCACAUGAUCCUUCCAAGGUUCAACCAAACAUCCAAGUCUUGCCCAAUUUCAAAACUUUCGCCCAACUUACAGAGGCAACACAGAUAUAAAAAGGGAAACAAAGAGGCCCCAAUACCUUCAUGUCUCUUGAAACAGACCAACGAACAACCGCGCCCACAGCAAACAGUAAAGAACAAGAAAACAGUUCAAGGGCCAGAACGCGACAGGGCUUCUCGAAACCGCAACCGAAAUCGAGGGCAGAGGCGUUUCCACUUAUUGACUUUCUAAAGCCCCCUUCUUUACUUUGGGUUUUUUAUUUAUUUAUUAUUAUUUUAUGAUGCUGAACGUUCUUAUGCUUCUAUUUGGAUUAAGAGAAAUAUAUAAAUUGAGUGAAACUAAAAAAUAAAAAUAAAAAGUUCUAGUCAAUAAUGAAAGUAAUUUUUCUUUUGACCAAAAAAAUAAAUAAAUGUAGAGGGACUGUUUGGGCCCUUGAGUUGGGUUGGGCCAAUUUUGGACUGAGUCCACAAAAGUAUUCCUUUACGUGCCGAACUAGAGAUGGUUGACUCAUUUGAUUCGAUCAAAUCCAAAAGAACCUCUGGCUUUAACUGGUUAGGAUCGCUAUUCAUGCAAACUACAAUUAUAUCAAAAAAAAAAUAUUAGAUGCCCCUCAUGCUCCAGGCAAAUAAGAAGGUGUUGAGAAGGCGACACGUGUCCUCUCAUGGGACCUACAAGCUGAGCCAAAAUUUUGAUAAUUUUGGUGUAUACUAUAACUGUGAAAGUAAGGUUUCUCCUUCUGCAAAGACUGUACACCCCUCUUUCUCUCUCUUCACGUCUCUCUCUACCCUCCCUCUUUUCAACCAGCAAAUCAUUGUGCCCGAUCAAUUAACCACUACGCUGCCAUUCUAGCUUUGGAUUCGGCCUUGACUUGUCCAUCCCUCGCUCUUUAUCUCUUUUCGCGUCUCUCUCUCUUGGGCCAAUGAACCUGCGUGUCCAACCAACGAACCACCGUGCUGCCCAUCCGGCUCGGGAUCCGGCCCCAACUUGUUCGUCCCUCGCUCUUUCUCUCUCUUCGAGUCUCUCUUUCCCCUUCCUCUCUCCGAUAGGUGAACCACCAUGCGAUUGUCGAACCAUCGCAUCAGCCCUCUUGCUCUGGAUCCAACCCCGACUCAUUCUGUAUGUUGGAAUGUUCACGCCCAACCCCUUCUCUCUCACCAGUUUGUCAAUCUCUAGGUUUGCCAGCAUCACGAUCUUGUUAGGGCUCAGCCCAACCUCCUUCCUCAAGUCCCAAGUCCUUCUCUCCAAUGUCAAUGUCAUUUCUCGCUUUCACUUUUUUCCCUCCUCCUAAUUUGCUGUGUGGAUUCAAGUGUGCAGUGCUCUGUGCUUUGGGGCCUUCUUCUCUCUUUCCUUUCUCAAACAGCGUGACGGAAGGGGGGGUUCAGUUCUUUUUGUUCUUUUCUUGGAUUCUUCUUGUAUUUUCUUUACUUUAUACUGCUCAGAAUUCUCCCCACUCUCUGUCAAAAGAACGUAAUGCAAUUUGCUAAAAAAAAACAAUUGCAAGUGUUGGAUUUUUUAAUCAUUUCCUGAUUAUGGAGAAAGAUUUUCAGGAUAAAUCCAUAAUUUCGUAAUUGUGAAAUUUGACCGCAUUGUUUUUGGUUGGGGGAUGGGUUGAUGUGAAACUAUCUCCGCCUGUCAACAGAUCAAACAAAUCUGAGAUUUGGACACCGAGAAAAUAUUAGGUAAAUGGGGCUUUAAGAGUAUAAACACGAUUUUAUCGCUUAUUGACUCCUAGGCGGGUUUUAAGAGUAUAGACAUGAGUUGUCCUCUACCAAUAUUGAAGGUUCAUUCUUUUUGUACAAAAUUGUUGUAAACUUUACAGUUGAAAUCAAUAGGCUAGUUUAGCUGGUUGGACAAGAAAUUAAUUCAUAAUCGAGUCUGGUUUUGUCUACUUAACCAUUCCUAACUAAUACCGGAUCAAACCAAAAUGGACGAUUGGAAUGGGAUGACUAAAGGCUAAGUCGUUACUUUUUAUUUAAAACAUGUGGUGGGUAUAUAGAUUAUUGAAGUGAUUUAGAUUUGGAUAUUUCCUAUUCAUAGGAGUUUUUGGCCUGUUUGUGAGAUCUAGAUUAAAGCUAAUCUUUCCACAUAAAAAUUCUAACCCUUUCUUUGGCUGGUAUAAGACUUCUAUGUAAUUAUCCAUUCAUUUACCUGCAUGUUACAACACUUGGGAACAUGCAUUUGAGUUUGGUAGGGCCCUAGAAUAUCGUGGUCCAAAUGCAUGUUCUUUUAUUGAUAUGCAAUUAUACUGUAGAUGGUGACACCAGUUUUUAUUAGCCCAUACUGUCUUGUUUGUUUCUACAGAUGAUGAUAUUUGUUUCAAUUAGCUUAGUUAUAUGUUUGAUUCCUUGCUGGUUCACUUAAGUGUAAAAAGUGAUGUGACUUCUUAUGUUCCUAAGGAAACUGAUCUACAAUGCGCUCCUGGUCGAUUUGAGUCUGUAGAAAAGUACAUAAGAGUAUUUGAGUCUUUGUUUUUUGAGAAAUGGAUAGGUGUUCCAGAAGUCCUAAAACUUAUCAUGAAAAUGCAUUACAGUUAUCGUGGGACGCCCAAAUUGAUGGUUUCACAUGACAUCUUAAUGCAUGUUGCUUUAAUGUAUACCUAUACCAUUAUUACAAGAUUCAGUGACAAAUUUUUGCAAAGUCUUUUCGAAAUAUUGCAAGUAAUACAUUUGAUGGAUUGAUUUAUUCAUUUACUCUUAAGUGUAAGGGGUUUAACAUGAACAUGUUGUCAGAUUUGACCUCACAGACUCUUCAGUUUUUUGUGAAUGUAAAUUAUUUGAAUCAAAAUGAUGGUUGUGUUGUCAUGCAUUGAAAGUGUUAACUGAGAACAUAUCGAUUACAUGCAUUUCAUCUCCCUAUGUUUUGAAAAGAUAGACUAAGGGUGCAAAACAAAGGAUUGUAAAUGAUGAAUUUUAUCAAAUGUCACCGGAUUCAUCUAAGUUUAAUCAGUUUUCAAUAUUGAUCCAAUAAUCUUUUGAAUUGAUGAAUUUGGGAGCCGAAGAUGACAAUACUAAGAGAAUAAUGAGAAAAAAAAAACACAAAAAGCGAAUGUUGAAAUUUCAUCAUACAAAUUAAGUGUGGUUAUGGCUAAUAAUACUAAUAAUGAAGAUAAUAAAGCUUCUCCAUGAGACAUUUUGAGUUUAAAGAACAAAAAGAAGAAAAAAUCUAAGAAAGAGACACCCCAAUGCCAAUAGAAAUUCGAGCUGAGUGAUAUAUUAUUCUAAUUAAAAUGAUUAGUUAAUUUUUUAUGUGGUGUAAUAUUUGGGCGGUUCCAUUUUUUUUUUCAAUAUUCACAUUAAUUCAUUCUAUGUCUUGCGUUUGUUAAGAUGUUUAGUAUUUACUGUCACAUUUUCUGUCACUGUUACAGCCGAGAUGCGAUAAACAAGAUUUAUCAAGUAAUAACUUCAAAGGAGCAUUGUGCUCGAGCUGGAGUGAUGCUGACGCAUGGGCAGGCUAAUCAACUAAGCCAUAUGUCUCGAGUGAGAUUGGUUAUCCCAGAUGAUCGCCAAGUAGUGAAAGGAUUUGCCUGUAGGAAGUUGACUUUCUUCUUAUUGUUACUUUUAUCUAUUAUAUUUCUUUAAACAAACUAAUAUGUAGACUUGUGAUAUAAUAGAAACUACAUACUUGAUAGAUAAGUUCAUAUUUAUUGGAUUUGAUUAGAAAAGAGAGGUCGGAGAUUCACUUGAUUUUCUUAAUCUACCAUAUUGGUUUCAAUUUAGGACAAAGCCACGAAAAUAUAAGAGAAGCUAAAAAAUUAAAACCACACUCCAAUGCCGUGAAACUGAAACUUCAAAUCAUUCAUUCUUUUAUUCAGUCAAAUUUUGUCCCACUCGAUUUAUGUUUGUUUAUUAAUUAUUUAUUUUUCCCAAUUUAUAAAUUAUGUAAUGGCUCUUUUGCAUUUGUAUCCAAUUUGGGAUGUAGUAAUGCCGUGAAUGAUGGAUAUUUCUAGUUUUUGGCUUAACUUCUCGAAUGUCUUUUUCUCAUUUUGUUAGUUCAACAGCUCGCAGAAAGAGAUAAUGAGAAAGCCUCGCUAUUAUCCGCAAAAGGGGGAAAUUUUUUUGCGGGGAUAUAUCAGUGAUUCACCUUAUUGCAAUAAUUGUCUGUAUAACACUCAGGAGUUGCUAACUCUGCGAGAGAUUCGACGGAUCUCUAGGCUCUGGACGUUUUUAAUGCCUAGGUUAUACGGCAUUCCCAUGAAGGCAAGAGCUGUUGAUGGGUUCACUUUAGUGUUGACUCGAAUACUUGACUGUUUAGCGUUAAGUAAUUUGAAAUAAUUUGAGUUUUGAUUACGUUCCAUUAAUUAAUUGUUUAUUUUGCUACCUCAAUGAGGUCGAAGCUUACAAUUUUAUUUUUUUUAAUUGAGGCUUCAUCGAGAAUAAAUAAUUAAAUUUCUUUGUGAUUUAUGAGAAAAAUUAACUAUUGAUAUUUUGGCUCGAUUUUUCUUCCACCAUAUCCCUUAUUUGGAAAAAUUCAAAAUGAAACUUUUCAAUAUUUAAUUAGAUUUAAGGUUUUUUUCUUAGUUAAUUAAAUCCUUCACGUGUAGCUUUUUGAUAUUUUAGGUUUUCUCGAGAAUAAAUAACUAAAUUUCUUUGUGAUUUAUGAGAAAAAUUAACUAUUGACAUCUUGGCUCGAUCUUCCACCAUAUCCCUCAUUUGAAAAAAUUCAAAAUGAAACUUUUCAAUAUUUAAUUAGAUUUAAGGUUUUUUUCUUAGUCAAUUAAAUCCUUCACGUGUAGCUUUUUGAUUUUUUAGGCUUCAUCGAGAAUAAAUAACUAAAUUUCUUUGUGAUUUAUGAGAAAAAAUAACUAUUGACAUCUUCGCUCGAUUUUUCUUCCACCAUAUCCCUCACUUCAAGACGAAACUUUUCAAUAUGUAAUUAGAUUUAAGGUUUUUUUCUCGGUCAGUUAAAUCCUUCACGUGUAGCUUUUUGAUUUUUUAUGUUCCACGAGGAUCGUUAGCAUUGUGAUUGGGAUGAAUUGGCGAUCAAUAGUGACUGUGGUGAUGCUGGUGAGAAGGAGGCCUCGUACAAGUACUAACAUUAGUACUUCUAAACACCCAUAGAAGCAUUGCAUAUUAUGUGCAAGGAAGGGAGUGGCCUAUGCGGUCGAAAUUUUACCACUGGACGAGACGAGUAGACAUCGAAAGAUUUUCAAUCGGAGGGGAAUUGUGGAAACACUUGCUGUAAUGUUUGGGCGGUUAAUUCCAUUUUUUUUUCAAUAUUCACGUUAACUUAUUCUGUGUCUUGCGUUUGUUAAGAUAUUUAGUGUUUACUGCCACAUUUUCUGUUACUAUUACAGCCGAGACGCGACAAACAGGAUUUAUAAAGUAAUAACCUCAGAGGAGCAUUGUGCCGGAGCUGGAGUGAUGCUGAUGCAUAGGCAGACUGAUCAACUAAGCUAUAUGCCUCGAGUGAGAUUGGUUAUCCCAGACAAUCGCCAAAUAGUGAAAGGAUUUGCCUGUAAGAAGUUGACUUUCUUCUUAUUGUUACUUUUAUCUAUUAUAUCUCUUUAAACAAACUAAUAUAUAGACUUGUGAUAUAAUAGAAAUUGCAUACUUGAUAGAUAAGUCCAUCUCUAUUGGAUUUGAUUAGAAGAGAGAGGUCGGAGAUUCACUUGAUUUUUUUUAUCUAUCAUAUUGGUUUCGAUUUAGGACAAAGCCACGAAAAUAUAAGAGAAGCUAAAAAAUUAAAACCACACUCCAAUGCCGUAAAACUGAAACUUCAAAUCCCCCAUUCUUUUAUUCAGUCAAAUUUGGUCCCAACAGAUUUAUGUUUGUUUAUUAAUUAUUUGUUUUUCCCGAUUUAUAAAUUAUGUAAUGGCUUUUUUGCAUUUUUAUCCAAUUUGGGAUGUAGCAAUGCCGUGAAUGAUGGAUAUUUAUGGUUUUUGACUUAACUUCUCGAAUGUCUUUCUCUCAUUUUAUUAGUUCAACAGCUUGCAGAAAGAGAUAAUAAGAAAACCUCGUUAUUAUCCGCAAAAUUGGGAGAUUUUUUUGCAGGGAUAUAUCGGUGAUUCACCCUAUUGCAAUCAUUGUCUGUAUAACACUUAGGAGUUGAUAACUUUGCGAGAGAUUUAACAGAUCUUUAGGCUCUAGACAUUUUUAAUGCCUAGGUUAUACGGCUUUCCCAUGAAGGCAAGAGCUGUUGAUGGGUUCACUAAAGUGUUACUCGAAUACUUGACUGUUUAGCGUUAAGUAAUUUGAAGUAAUUUGAGUUUUGAUUACGUUCCAUUAAUCAAUUGUUUAUUUUGCUACCUCGAUGAGGUCGAAGCUUACGAUUUUUUUUUUUUUUUAAAUUGAGGCUUCCUCGAGAAUAAAUAACUAAAUUUCUUUGUGAUUUAUGAGAAAAAUUAACUAUUGAUAUUUUGGCUCGAUUUUUCUUCCACCAUAUCCCUCAUUUGGAAAAAUUCAAAAUGAAACUUUUCAAUAUUUAAUUAGAUUUAAGGUUUUUUUCUUAGUUAAUUAAAUCAUUCACGUGUAGCUUUUUGAUAUUUUAGGUUUCCUCGAGAAUAAAUAACUAAAUUUCUUUGUGAUUUAUGAGAAAAAUUAACUAUUGACAUCUUGGCUCGAUCUUCCACCAUAUCCCUCAUUUGGAAAAAUUCAAAAUGAAACUUUUCAAUAUUUAAUUAGAUUUAAGGUUUUUUUUCUUAGUCAAUUAAAUCAUUCAUGUGUAGCUUUUUGAUUUUUUAGGCUUCAUCAAGAAUAAAUAACUAAAUUUCUUUGUGAUUUAUGAGAAAAAAUAACUAUUGAUAUCUUCGCUCGAUUUUUCUUCCACCAUAUCCCUCACUUCAAGACGAAACUUUUCAAUAUGUAAUUAGAUUUAAGGUUUUUUUCUCGGUCAGUUAAAUCUUUCACGUGUAACUUUUUGAUUUUUUAUGUUCCACGAGGAUCGUCAGCAUUGUGAUCGGGGUGAAUUGGCGAUCAAUAGUGGCUGUGGUGAUGCUGGUGAGAAGGAGGCCCGCUUGAUGCUAGAGUGAAUACUGCCCUCGUACAAGUACUAACGUUAGUACUUCUAAGCACCCAUAGAAGCAUUGCAUAUUAUGUGCAAGGAAGGGAGUGGUCCUAUGCGGUCGAAAUUUUACCACUAGACGUGACGAGUAGACAUCGAAAGAUUUUCAAUCGGAGGGGAAUUGUGGAAACACUUGCUGUAAUGUUUGGGCGGUUAGUUCCAUUUUUUUUUCAAUAUUCACGUUAACUUAUUCCGUGUCUUGCGUUUGUUAAGAUAUUUAGUGUUUACUGCCACAUUUUCUGUUACUAUUACAGCCGAGACGCGACAAACAGGAUUUAUAAAGUAAUAACCUCAGAGGAGCAUUGUGCCGGAGCUGGAGUGAUGCUGACACAUAGGCAGACUGAUCAACUAAGCCAUAUGCCUCGAGUGAGAUUGAUUAUCCCAGACGAUCGCCAAGUAGUGAAAUGAUUUGCCUAUAAGAAGUUGACUUUCUUCUUAUUGUUACUUUGAUCUAUUAUAUCUCUUUAAACAAACUAAUAUAUAGACUUGUGAUAUAAUAGAAAUUGCAUACUUGAUAGAUAAGUCCAUCUCUAUUGGAUUUGAUUAGAAGAGAGAGGUCGGAGAUUCACUUGAUUUUCUUGAUUUACCAUAUUGGUUUCGAUUUAGGACAAAGUCACGAAAAUAUAAGAGAAGCUAAAAAAUUAAAACCACACUCCAAUGCCGUAAAACUGAAACUUCAAAUCCUCCAUUCUUUUAUUCAGUCAAAUUUUGUCCUAACAGAUUUAUGUUUGUUUAUUAAUUAUUUGUUUUUCCCGAUUUAUAAAUUAUGUAAUGGCUUUUUUGCAUUUUUAUCCAAUUUGAGAUGUAGCAAUGCCGUGAAUGAUGGAUAUUUCUAUUUUUUGACUUAACUUCUCAAAUGUCUUUCUCUCAUUUUGUUAGUCCAACAGCUUGCAGAAAGAGAUAAUAAGAAAACCUCGCUAUUAUCCGCAAAAUUAGGAGAUUUUUUUGCAGGGAUAUAUCGGUGAUUCACCUUAUUGCAAUCAUUGUUUGUAUAACACUUAGGAGUUGAUAACUUUGCGAGAGAUUCGACAGAUCUUUAGGCUCUGGACAUUUUUAAUGCCUAGGUUAUACGGCAUUCCCAUGAAGGCAAGAGCUGUUGAUGGGUUCAUUAAAGUGUUAGACUCGAAUACUUGACUGUUUAGCGUUAAGUAAUUUGAAGUAAUUUGAGUUUUGGUUACGUUCCAUUGAUCAAUUGUUUAUUUUGCUACCUCAGUAAGGUCAAAGCUUACGAUUUUAUUUUAUUUUUUUAAAUUGAGGCUUCCUCGAGAACAAAUAACUAAAUUUCUUUGUGAUUUAUGAGAAAAAUUAACUAUUGACAUCUUGGCUCGAUUUUUCUUCCACCAUAUCCCUCAUUUGGAAAAAUUCAAAAUGAAACUUUUCAAUAUUUAAUUAGAUUUAAGGUUUUUUUCUUAGUCAAUUAAAUCAUUCACGUGUAACAUUUUGAUUUUUUAGGCUUUCUCGAGAAUAAAUAACUAAAUUUAUUUGUGAUUUAUGAGAAAAAUUAACUAUUGAUAUAUUCGCUCAAUUUUUCUUCCACCAUAUCCCUCACUUAGAAAAAUUCAAAAUGAAAAUUUUCAAUUUUUAAUUAGAUUUAAGGUUUUUUUCUUAGUCAAUUAAAUCCUUCAUGUGUAGCUUUUUGAUUUUUUAGGCUUCCUCGAGAAUAAAUAACUAAAUUUCUUUGUGAUUUAUGAAAAAAAAAAGUUAACUAUUAACAUCUUCGCUCGAUUUUUCUUCCACCAUAUCCCUCACUUGGAAAUAUUCAAAACGAAAAUUUUCAAUAUUUAAUUAGAUUUAAUGUUUUUUUCUCAGUCAAUUAAAUCUUGUAGCUUUUUGAUUUUUUAUGUUCCACAAUGAUCGUCAGCACUGUGAUUGGGGUGAAUUGGCGAUCAAUGGUGGUUGUGGUGAUGUUGGUGAGAAGGAGGUCCGCUCGAUGCUAGAGUGAGAACUGCCCUCGUACAAGUACUAACGUGAGUACUUUUAUGCACCGCAUAGAAGUAUUGCAUAUUACGUGCAAAGAAGGAAGUGGCCAUAUGCAAUUGAAAUUUUACUAUCGGACGAGAUGAGUAGACAUGGAAAGAUUUUCAAUUGGAGGAGAAUUGUGGAAACACUUACUGUAAUGUUUGGGUGGUUAGUUCCAUUUUUUUAAAUAUUCACAUUAACGCAUUCUGUAUUUUGCGUUUGUUAAGAUGCUUAGUAUUUACUGUCACAUUUUCUAUCACUGUUACAGCCGAGACGCGACAAAUAGGAUUUAUCAAGUAAUAACCUCAGAAAAGCAUUGUGCCCAAGCUGAAGUAAUGCUAACGCAUAGGCAGACUGAUCAACUAAGCCGUAUGCCUCAAGUGAGAUUGGUUAUCCUAGACGAUUACUAAGUAAUGAAAGGAUUUGCUUAUAAGAAGUUGACUUUCUUCUUAUUGUUAUUUUUAUCUAUUAUAUCUCUUUAAACAAACUAAUAUGUAGACUUGGUGAUAUAAUAGAAAUUGCACACUUGAUAGAUAAGUCCAUCUCUAUUUAAUUUGAUUAGAAAAGAGAGGUCGAACAUUCAUUUGAUUUUCUUGAUCUACCAUAUUGGUUUCGAUUUAGGACAAAGUCACAAAAACAUAAAAGAAGUUAAAAAAUUAAAACCACACUCUAGUGCCAUGAAACUGAAACUUCAAAUCCUUCAUUCUUUUAUUCAACCAAAUUUUGUCCCAACCAAUUUAUGUUUAUUUAUUAAUUAUUUGUUUUUCCUGAUUUAUAAAUUAUGUAAUGGCUCUUCUACAUUUUUAUCCAAUUUGGAAAGUAGCAAGGCCGUGAAUGAUAGAUAAUUCUGGUUUUUGGCUUAACUUUCCGAACGUCUUUUUCUCAUUUUGUUAGUCCAACAGCUCCCAGAAGGAGAUAAUGAGAAAGCCUCGCUAUUAUCUGCAAAAGGGAGAGAUUUUUUUUGCGGGAAUAUAUCGGUGAUUCACCCUAUUUCAAUCGGUGUUUGUAUAACACUUGGGAGUUGAUAACUCUGCGAGAGAUUCGACAGACCUCUAGGCUCUGGACAUUUUUUAUGCCUAAGCUAUAUGACUUUCUGAUGAAGGUAAGAACUGUUGAUGAGUUCACUAAAGUGUUGACUUGAAUGCUUGAUUGUUUAGCAUUAAGUAAUUUGAAGUAAUUUGAGUUUUAGUUACGUUCCAUUGAUAAAUUGUUUAUUUUACUACCUCAAUGAGGUCAAAGCUUACGAUUUUUUUUUAAAUUGAGACUUUCUCGAGAAUAAAUAACUAAAUUUCUUUGUGAUUUAUGAGAAAAAUUAACUAUUGACAUCUUUGCUCGAUUUUUCUUUCACCAUAUCCCUCAUUUGGAAAAAUUCAAAAUGAAAAUUUUCAAUAUUUAAUUUAAGGUUUUUUUCUCAGUUAAUUAAAUCAUUCAUGUGUAGCUUUUUGAUUUUUUAGGCUUUCUCAAGAAUAAAUAACUAAAUUUCCUUGUGAUUUAUGAAAAAAAUUAACUAUUGACAUCUUCGCUCGAUUUUUCUUCCGCUAUAUCCCUUACUUAGAAAUAUUCAAAACGAAAUUUUUCAAUAUUUAAUUAGAUUUAAGGUUUUUUUCUUGGUCAAUUAAAUCCUUCACGUAUAGUUUUUUGGUUUUUUAUGUUCCACGAGGACCGUCAGCACUGUGAUUGGGGUGAAUUGGCGAUUGAUGGUAGCUGUGGUGAUGCUGGUGAGAAGGAGGCCCGCUCGAUGCUAGAGUGAAGACUGCCCUCAUACAAGUACUAACGUGAGUACUUUUAUGCACCGCAUAGAAGCAUUGCAUAUUACGUGCAAGGAAGGGAGUGGCCCUAUGCGGUCGAAAUUUUACCACCGAACGAGAUGAGUAGAUAUGGAAAGAUUUUCAAUCGGAGGGGAAUUGUGGAAACACUUGCUGUAAUAUUUGGGCAGUUAAUUCCAUUUUUUUUUCAAUAUUCACGUUAAUUCAUUCUGUGUCUUAUGUUUGUUAAGAUGUUUAGUGUUUAUUGCCACAUUUUCUGUCACUAUUACAGCCAAGACGCGACAAACAUGAUUUAUCAAGUAAUAACCUCAGAGGAGCAUUGUGCCGAAGCUGGAGUAAUGCUAACACAUAGGCAGGUUGAUCAACUAAGCCGUAUGCCUCAAGUGAGAUUGGUUAUCCCAGACGAUCGCCAAGUAGUGAAAGAAUUUGUCUGUUAGAAGUUGACUUUCUUUUUAUUGUUAUUUUUAUCUAUUAUAUCUCUUUAAACAAACUAAUAUGUAGAUUUGUGAUAUAAUAGAAACUGCAUACUUGAUAAAUAAGUCCAUCUCUAUUGGAUUUAAUUAGAAGAGAGAGGUCAGAGAUUCACUUGAUUUUCUUGAUCUAUCAUAUUGAUUUCGAUUUAAGACAAAGCCACGAAAACACCAGAAAAGCUAAAAAAAAUUAAAACCACACUCCAAUGCCGUAAAACUGAAACUUCAAAUCCUCCAUUCUUUUAUUUAGCCAAAUUUUGUCCCAGCCGGUUUAUGUUUGCUUAUUAAUUAUUUAUUUUUCCUGAUUUAUAAAUUAUGUAAUGGCUCUUCUGCAUUUUUAUCCAAUUUGGGAAGCAGCAAUGCCGUGAAUGAUGGAUAUUUCUGGUUUUUGGCUUAACUUCCCGAACGACUUUUUCUCAUUUUGUUAGUCCAACAACAUUAAGUAAUUUGAAGUAAUUUGAGUUUUUAUUACGUUCCAUUGAUCAAUUCUUUAUUUUGCUAUCUCAGUGAGGUCAAUACUUACAAAUUUUUUUUUUUUAAAUUGAGGCUUUAUCAAGAAUAAAUAACUAAAUUUCUUUGUAAUUUAUGAGAAAAAUUAACUAUUGACAUAUUUGCUCGAUUUUUCUUCCACCAUAUCCCUCACUUGGAAAAAUUCAAAACGAAACUUUUCAAUAUUUAAUUAGAUUUAAGGUUUUUUUUUCUCGGUCAAUUAAAUCCUUCACGUGUAGCUUUUGAUUUUUUAUGUUUCACGAGGAUUAUCAGCACUGUGAUUGGGGUGAAUUGGCGAUCGAUAGUGGUUGUGGUGAUGCUGGUGAGAAGGAGGCAUGCUCGAUGCUGGAGUGAAGACUGCCCUCAUACAAGUACUAAUGUGAGUACUUCUAUGCACCACAUAGAAGUAUUGCAUAUUAUAGGGAAGAAGGGAGUAGGGAAGAAGCCAAGUCCUCCCUCCUCUCUUAUACUGGCACCAAUAGAUCCCUUAUUUCAAAACCCUAUUUACAGACAUUUCAAGCUCUUGAAUGGUGAGUUUCUAGCUUUAUUUUAUAUUAGAAUGAUGGGUUUCUUGUUGAUUAGCUAAGUGAUUCUCAAUUCGUAGUUAUGCACCACAUAGAAGCUUUGCAUAUUACAGGAAAGAAUGCAAGUCCUCCCUCCUCUCCUAUACUGGCGUCAGUAGAUCCAAGCCCUAUUUGCAGACACUUGAAGCUUUUCAAGGGUGAGUUUCUAGCUUCCUUUUCUAUUAUAAUGAUGGGUUUCUGAUUGAUUAGCUGAGUGAUUCUCAAUUCAUAGUUAUGCACCACAUAGAAUUAUUGCAUAUUACAGAGAAGAAUGCAAGUCCUCCCUUCUCUCCUAUACUAGCACCAUCAAAUCCAAGCCCCAUUUAUAGACACUUCAAGCUCUUUAAGGAUGAGUUUCUAGCUUUUUUUGUUGUUAGAAUGAUGGGUUUCUUCUUUAUUAGCUGAGUGAUUCUCAAUUCGUUAUGGCAGUUAUGCACCACAUAGAUGCAUUGCAUAUUAUAGGGAAGAAGGCAUUACAUUUAUGAUUAGGUACGUUGCUCUUAGUCAUCCAUUUGUAUUUAUAUUUUACUAAUUUGGCCAUUUUUUUUUUAUAUAGAUGCAGUAACCACCAUACAUCAUGCCGCCAGAGAUUAUGAGUGGAUUUAGCCCAUUUCCUGAUGAGUUAUUUAAUAGUUUGGUAUAUUAAUUUAGUUACAUUUUGCUAAUGAGAUUGUUUAUUAUAUAUAGAUGCGACCAUCAUAUGUCAUGCCAUUAGGGAUUAUGAAUGGAUUUUCUCCAUUCACUAAUCGGAUGCUAUUUUGCAAUUGUAGUACAUCAUAGUGCUAUUUCAUCUUAUUGUUACUACUGUAAUAUUCAUUAUUUAUGGUUUCUUUUGGAUAGAUGUUGGAGUACCAUAAUGGACCUCACGGGACCAUUUUGAGUUAGGAACAACUUGUGUUUUCUCUCAUGGGAUUAUUUGAGACAUUUUUAUCUUGGCAUUUAUUUAGUAAACAUAAAUAAAUUGAUUUUUCCUUUGUAUAGUGAUCAUCAAACUCUUUUUAGCAUCUUGGGAUAAAUGAAUUGAAUGAUUUCAUAGGAACACAAAUAAAUAAUCUGAAGUAAUGAUAUAGGACUCUUAUCUAUCGCAUUGUGAUGCUUCUUGUGGUAAGAUUAGCAUUGCCGAUGUUGGAAGUGACAUUGAGCUUCUUGGUCUGGUCUUAGCAAUUGUAAAGCCCGGUAUGUUAUCAUUUCAUAUUUGAUGUGGCUUUUGUUCACUUGUUGGGAUGCGGGGUUGGUGGGACAUUUUGAUUCUUGUUAUAAAUCCACAGAAAUGGGGUCGUAAUUUGUUCAAGAUGCAAGAGAAAGUGUUAUUGCUAUAACUACCUUGAAAAGUGGUAUAAUAUAUCAAGUUAUUCUAUUCAAACAAAGAGUAGCUGCAUGUAUUAAGUAAAUCAAAAUUAGCAAGCUUCUUUUGUAUUGCAUUAAGUUCAAGGGAAUAAUCAUUUUAUUAUUGAAUAGGUACGCGGGGAAAAGUAAACAAGACAUGGAGACGGAAUGCCCAUUUUGCCGUGGCCAUUGCAAUUGUACAAGAUGCCUCAGGUUGGUUUACUAGCGGUGAUUGCCUAUUUUGCCAAAAUGCAUAGCCCACCAAAGCAUAAGCCCAGCCCAAGCCCGCCUGAGUUCAGUUACAGCCCGUCGGAGAGUCUCAGGCCCUGUGCGCCCAAGCUCGCCCCAGCCCGCCCCUCUACUCACCCCGCAUUAGGCACCUGUUGGUGCCGCCUAAGGCCCACGUCUACGCGGUCUAGACUCGAUAAUCCAGGUGACCAUGGACUAUGUGUGCGGGGCAGGUGCUAGCUGCAAACCCAUCCAGCCUAGCGAAACCUAAUACAAGCUAGACACGCUGCUGGCGGACGCCUCCUACACCUUCAACAGCUACUGGUAGAAGAGGAAGGAGUCCGAAGAGACGUGUGACUUUGGAGGAACGGCGAUGCUAGUCACUGUGGAUUCAAGUAAGUGCAUUACCACCACCAUCUGCUAUAUUGCAAAGCAAAAACAUCAACAUGAAUAUGAGAUAAUGUCCGAAAUUUGGGUCUUCUUUCUAUCUCAUGGUUCAUACGCAUUGUUUUUGUGGCGGGUUACAAUGGAUGUCACUUUGAUAUCAUCUAAAAUCCUUUCCUGCUGAAGGCCUUGUAAAACAUAAAGCUCAGUCCUCCUCAUUCCCAAUGUGCAUUGUGCUCAUGAGUCUUGCCAUAAAGAAUUUUGUAAUUAGCUACAUAUGGCUAUUGCUUGGAAAUUAUGCAUAGACAUGGUUUACAUCUAAUUAUGAAAUGAAAAUGGGGCUUAUACAUGAGCUGGUACAUAAUAUAUCCGAAACUCUUUUAAUAUUGAAAGAAAUUCCCGUCUUUUGAAAGGGGACCUCAUUUCCAAAUAUCGUCAAUAUAAUACAAAGACAUUUUUAUAUGUUGCACGAUGAAUUGCAACUAAAUCCAUCCUCAUCAACGCAUAGCUAUACAACUCGAACGAGGUGAAGAACUCAGAAGUUAGUGAUUUAAAAACCAAUGAGCUCCAUGAGUUCCGAAUAAAUUGAGAAAAGUAUUUUGUGUAUCGAACAUGACAAUCAUACUUAAAAGAAAUAAAUUACUAAUAACUAAGAAUUCAAAAUUCAAACAUGAAAUUGGUCGAAUGCCUGUCACUCAAGUAAUAUGAUUAAUCGAUAAUAACACAUUGAUGUACAAAUUUUUAUAUUUUCAGAGAAAAAAUAAGAAACCUAAAUUAGUUAAAGCAAGGAUUUGUUCAAAAUUUCAAGAAGCAGGGGAGGUUGACGGAAUUUUUUAUCGAAAUUUCAAGAAUUUGGCCAUUGUCGUGCCGAUUAUGCCAUGGCCAUUGAAAACUAGCUCAUUGCCCAAAUAGCUAGAACUCAGCUAUAUUCAAUAAGCAAAAGGUUGGUUUACUAGUGGUGAUGAUGAUUAGCAAUAAUCUCAUUUUCAUGUAAAUAAUUCAAAAUUUUAGAGGCAGAAAUUACUGUUUCAAUGCCGCCAAAUGAACAACUUACAGCUGAAAAAAGGUCUAUAUUUAGCAACAUCUUUUCUUUUCAGUGGCAUUGGAAAAUAUGCAAUAGCAAAAUAAACUUAGUGAUAUGCCAACAUAAAGGCUCACUUCAUUCAUCCCGCAAACAAAAUGCACAUAUAUUUACAAAACAUAUUAAACUCAUAAACAACUUAACCAACAUCUUCAAAUUUGCCAAAUCUCAAAAGAUGUCAAGUUUUAAAGCUAAAAUUAUCAUAAACAACAACACAACCAACAUUUUCAAUCUUUCUUUAGAUUUGCCAAAUCUUGUUUCAAUUUUGCAUUGAGAGCCUUGUCUUCAACAUCCAUUGAACAACCCCCAUCCUCAUUGUGGGUUGACAUUUGUUUUUGUUCAACAUUGCUUGGACAAAAAAUUUUGGACACACUCCUUACCGAUUGAUUGAUUUCCUUAUCAAUCCAAAUAACAAAAUUUACAACUUUAUCAUCUAUUGUAGUGGUUGUAUUUUGGGCGGUUGUAGUAUAUUUUCCCUUGUCCUUCGACCUUACCGUUUGUAAAUGACAUUUUAGGCCACAAUAGCAAAAUACGGACGUAUCGUUGUUGAUUGGAGGAGUUGACAUAAUUGAUUGUGAUGAAUAUUCUGCAAAAAAAAAAAAAAAAAUGAGAAUAGCAUCAGAUUUAAGAGAAUCCAAAGGGACACUUUGCAGGAAUCCAUUGAUUAAAGUUCAUAAUUAGAAAAUGUUCAUUAAUUAUUAAAACUUAUACAUGAAGAAGUACAUGAAAGUGCUUUUUCUAAAGUCAUGAUAUUGCUAUAGAAUAUGGAGUUUGGUUUAGGAAGUAUUCAGCGAAAUAUAUUCUAAUAUUUUUUUAACAAUAGUCACUAAAGCCUUACCAAAUGAACAGCUAUAUUCAAAGCUUAAAACAUAAGUCACAUAGCUGAACUAUCUUCAAGUUUCGAAUGACAACUGCAAUUAAGGAGUCUUCAACAUUUCUACCACCUUUUAGGAGCUUCCUCAAAGAGCAAUCAACCUGGAGAUCAACAAUUAAAACAAUAUUGCAUCUUAUUAGAAUCUUCUAGGAAAAAUAUCCAUUCUUUAACCCAAAGAGAAAGUAAAUAAGAUGCAUUCCCUUCGCAAAUCAUCAAACAGCUAAAAGCACUAACCUAUAUCUUGGUAAUUGUUACAAAGAUGACAAGUUCCUAAAAAUACUUAUAGUGGAUUUCUGUCACUUAAAAUGCAUUAUGACAAGAAUUCAAGCAUAAAUCUCACUAAUGCAAGAUGAUGUUUUAAUAAAGUUAAAAAUUUGAGGAUACUAUGAAUAAUCUUCGAGUAGACAAAGCUUGAUCUAAUUAACAAUAACAAGGGAUAUGUCUCUUUGAACAUAAAUUUGCUCCUUGUCAGUCAGUCCUUAAAAUGACAAUUGUUUAAUAAGUCAUUCAGAGAUUCAAAAUGAAUAAAUAGAAGCAUUGAAGUGUCAAUUCGUGCAAUUUCACUUACCUUAACAACUGAGGCUUCAGUUGCAAACUUCUUUCCUAACUUUUUCAAAGCAUCACUAAGUUUGAUGCCAAAGAUGAGACACCUAGUAAAUUGACUUACAAACUUUACCUUAAUGAUGAAUUAUGAGCCACCAACAAUGAAUGUAAAAUGAGGAAAAUCAUAUUAUUAAAAGUACCGUCAAAUGAACAAUUUACAACAUAUUUUUCCCCUCAAAGAAAAACAUUAAUCAACCAAUUCACCCGUCAAGUGCCAAGCUACCAAAGUAGCACCCAACCUUCGCGUAGUCUUGUGCCACUAUGUACCCACCUAGGAGUCAAUAAGUGAUAAAAUCAUGUCUAUGCUCUUAAAACCCUAUUCCCUCAAUAUUUUCUCGAUGUCUAGGUCUCGGAUCUGUUCAAUUUGUCAGCAAGCAGAGAUAAUUUCAUCUCAACCCAUCCCCCAACCAAAAACAAUGCGAUCAAAUUUUACAAUUACGCAAUUCCGGGUUUAUCCCGAAAAUCCAUCUCCAUAAUUAGGAGGGGAUUAAAAAAUCCAACCCUUGCAAAAGGUAUUAUUACCCAUUUCCCUCCUUUCAAUAUUCCGCACUCGAACUGCUACAUGUAUAUCUCUUGAAAAAUUUUCGAUUAACUCCUCCCAUGUAUUGUAAAGCUGAGCAUGGCAUUCCUCAAAAAGCAAAGGUUCAAAUACUCAGAUAUACUCUUCUACAAACUCAAAUCGAUCGAGAACAUAUUGUACAUCAGUCUCCCCCGGAACAUAAGAAGCCACAUCAUCUUUUACACAUAAGUGAACCAGCAAGGAAUCAAACACAUAACUAAGCUAAUUGAAAGAAAUAUCAUCACCUGUAGAAACAGACAAGACAUUAUAGGCUAAUAAAAAUUGAUAUCACCAUCUACAAUACGACUAAAUACCAAUAAAAGAACAUGCAUUUGGACCAAGAUAUUCCAAGCCCCUUCUAAACUCAAAUCCAUGUUCUCAAGGGCUACAAUAUGUAAGUAAAUGAAUGGAUGAUCAUACAGAAGUCUCAUGCUAGCUAAAGAAAGGGUUGGAAUUUAUAUGUAGAAAGGUUAACUCUAAUCUAGAUAUCACAAAUAUGCCAAAAACUCCCAUGAAUAGGAAAUAUCUAGAUCUAAAUCACUUCAAUAAUAUAUGAAAUCCUAACAUCCAACUAACUCUUAUACUCAUUACAUGUUUCAAAUUACAAGUAACGACUUGGCCUUUAGCCACCCCAUUCCAAUCGUCUCUAUUAAACCAGUUGAACCAGGUUGAUUUCGGUUUGAUACAAUAUUGGUCACAUAUGGAUAAGUAGGCAAAGCCAGACUUGACUAUGAACUAAUUUUCUACCCAACGGCCAAACCAGCCCCUUGAUUUCAACUGUAAACUUUACAACAACUUUGCACAAAAAAAAUGAACCUUCAAUAUUGAAAAAGGACGACUCAUGUCUAUACUCUUAAAAUCCCAUUCCCCCAAUAUUUUCUCAGUGUCUAGAUCUUGGAUCUAUCCAAUCUAUUAGCAAGCAGAGAUAGUUUCACCUCAACCCAUUCCCCGACCAAAAACAACACGGUCAAAUUUCAGAAUUAUGCAAUUUUGGGUUUAUCCCGAAAAUCUAUAUCCAUAAUCAGGAGGGGAUUAAAAAAAUCCAGUCCUUGCAAUUGUUUUUGUUAGCAAAUUGCAUUAUGUUCUUUUUACAGAGAGAGGGGGAGAACUCUAAGCAGUACGAAGCAAAGAAACUACAAGAAGAAUCCAAGAAAAGAAACAAAAAAAAAAAUUGAAACCCCCUUUUUUGUCACACCAUCAGAGAGAGAGAGAGAGAGAGAGAGAGAGAGAGAGAGAGAGAGAGAGAGAAAGAGAGAAUAAUGGCCCAAAGCACAGAGCACUGCAUGCUCAAAUCCACACAGCAAAUUAGGAGGAGGGAGAAAAGCAAAAGCAAGAAAUGACCUUAACGUUGGAGAGGAGGAUUGGGGACUCGAGGAAGGAGGUCGAGUUGAGCCCCGGUGAGAUCGUGAUACCAGUGGACCAAGAUAUCGAUAGGCCAAUGGAAGAGGGGGAGGGUCAGGCACGAACGUUCCAAUGUGUAAAACGAGUCGGGGCUAGAUCAGGAGCCGAAGGAGCGGCAUAGUGGUUUACCAGUCAGAGAGAGGAAGAGUAAAGAGACAUGCGAAGAGAGAGAGAGCAACGGAUGGACAAGCCGGGCCCAGAUUCGAAGCUAUAGGGGCAGCGCGAUGGUUUGCUAAUCAUGUGCAGUGGUUCGCUAGUCAGAGAGAGGGAGGGCAGAGAAAGACGCGAAGAGAGAGAAAGAGCAACGCACGAUCUCUAGAAAAGAAGAAAUCCUACUUUUUUAGUUAUAGCAUGCACCAAAAUUUUCAAAAUUUUAGUUCAGCUUGUGGGUCCCACAAAAGGACAUGUGUUGCCUUCUCAACGCCUUGCUAUUUGCCACGCUGGAACGUUAGACAUACGCAAUAUUUUCCCCAACGACAUCUAGCUUUCUUUGGUUGUUAAGGGUGCGUUUGAUUAUUAUUCUAUUUCCGAGAACAAUUUUUGAGCAAAAGAAUACAUUUAGUAACUGUACAAAAUUUCUGAUUCUAGAAUAGAAAAAGAAUAAAAAUGCAUUUGGUAAUUACAUGAAAUUCUAUUGAUUAAUUAUAUUUAACUAAGUAAUAAACAUAUUAACUAAUCAAAUUUUUAUUAAAUAGUAAAUAAUAAACUAUAGUAUAAACUAUAAAUAUAAAUAAUAAAUAAUAAAUUAAAUACAAAAUUAAAUAUGUAUUCUAUAUAUAGCAAAAUUUAAAUUCCUACUUCAAAUCAUUUUUUUAUUUUUUAAAUAAUUUUAUUGGUUUUUUUUUCUUUUUUUCCUUUCUUCCUUCCCUUCUUCUUCUUCUUCUUCUUCUUCUUCUUCUUCAAGGUGGCCGGUCGCCAGCCUUGGGACAAUCGGCAACUGGCCAGACGAGGGCCGACGACCUCACCGGAGCGUCACCGACCCUCGGCGAGGCCGUGCCUCAUUGACCGAGCCUCGUCGGCAGCUGGGCAAGCUCGACCUCACCAGAUCUAGGUGAGGUCGAGCCUCACCCAACCUCGCCUGGCCAGGGAAGGCCUGCCUAGCCACCGGUGAGGCACUGGCAAGCUCGCUAGGCCUCACCGAAGGCUGGGCGAGCUCGCCAGUGACCGGCGGCAGUGGGCGGCGAACUAUGGUGUUCGGCGGGUGGCGGCGGCGGCAGCAGGCGGUGAACGGUGGCAUUCGGCAGGGGGUGGCGACGACGGUAGACGGCAAUGGCAGUGGUAGCGGCACUUGAAGAACAAGAGAGAGAAAAAGAAUAAGAAGAAAGAUGAGGAAAAAGAAAAAAUUAAGUAGACUUGAUUCUAGAAUUGUUCCCGAGAACAAAGAAUCAACUUUUUUUUUUUAUUCUUGAUUCUACUCCAAAUUUGUUCCUGGGAACAAAAUUUUUACCAAACGUGAUUCUAUUCCAAACUACUCCUAGGAACAACAAAAAUAGAAAUAAACACUGUUUGGCCGGUUACAAAACAUGCCCUAACCAUCUAGAAAAAAUGAUAGAAAUCAAGGAAACACAUUUAUGACAAGAAGGUGAUUGAAUGAAAGAUCCCCCACGUGCUUGUCAUGUGUAUCGUCAGUCACCAUCAUUAAUAUGUAAUGAAACCUCAUUAGGAAUCCUAGUGAAUUAAAUUCCUAGGCUAAUGUUAAUGUUGUUGAGUAUAUAGCUGUGGCUUUGAGAGCUUCAUUUACUUUGUCACACCAGCGAAUCAAGAAGACGAAAUACGGCUUGGGAGAUGGGUACGAAUAAAGCAGGAGGUUCCGUUCAAGUGUCGAUUGGAGUGGUGUGCAUUUCGUUUCUCUUCAUGUCUGGUGACAAAUCUCUACAUCUUCAGUAAAAUCAUUGCUGAAAUUAACAAAGUUUCCUUCCAUUGGAGCUACGAAAGGGUCCAUCCUAAGAUGACCUACCGACCGACCCACCAACCUGGUUUUAUAGUCUGAGCUAGGAACAAGUUCGUGUGGAAUAUCUGAGUGAGCUCAGGAUUGCAGGUCCAAUUGAGCAAAUGUUUCUAUACAAAUCUGCGGUCUCGUCGUUAAUGCACAUGGAGGUUCGAACUUUUUUAAGGAUGUCCUACUUUACACCAGCGAGAAGUGUCUAGAGAUAAUCGGAUCGGGCUACGCCCUUUUUGGCGGGACAAAAUUCGAUGUAAUCAUAAAAAUUACUUCCUCUUUCCGUUGAAAAUUUAAAAGAACAAUCAUGAUGAGUUUCAUAUUGAUUAUGCAGGAAGCGUGCUAGGGUGGCUGCCGCCAGUAGUACCGGGGUGCUUAGGCCCGUGCUCAAACUUCCCGGACUGCAACGAGGCAUGCAAACAAGCCGGUCAUAGAAGCGGCAGGAUCUGCUUCAAGUUCCCGCCAAAGAGUCUUCUGUCUUGUUGCUGCUCUGGAUGAUCAUUAACCCUCUGGACAUAGUCAAGGUGUGUAUGUUCUCUUUUUUAAUGGUGACUGGCAAAUAAAAUUUCAACGAUAGAAUUUGAUCCCCACACUCGACUCUUUGUUAAUGAUCAUUCUGGACCUGCAGAAACAAAAAUGGGAAAAUACUGAAUGCAUGUUCAUUUGAGUUUUUCUAAGACAAUCAGCAGCACGAUCGAAACUGUGAGUCCCUGAGUUCUAUCAAGAACUUGAGGGAAAACUGGCAAGAAGACAAAACCUUGCCCAAAAUUGUGAUAGGUUGAAGUACCAUUUGAAUUUUUCUAUUUGGGUCGCUAGAUUAAGUGAAAAAACUUCGAACUGCACUGCCAAACCAGUGCACCUCCUAGUGAACAUACUCUGAAAGCUUGACAAAAUGAUGUAGACCGACUGACUAGUGCUGUUAAAACUUUAAAGUCGCACAGUCAAAAGCAGUACUAAUUUAGCCGUAGUCGCAACAAGCAUUACCUGCAAUAUAAUCUUUUCAAGAUGUAUUACGACAUAGAUUCACAAAAUGACAAGGGGAAAAGAGAGAAACGAAAAGGAUCUGGGAACUUCAUUGUUAUUGCUUCUCAUAUGAACAAGAAGGCCACAAAUACACGAGUCACCUCGAUAGCUGCAUGUUCCUUUAAAUGUCAUUAUCUCACGACAGAAAAAGAUGAGUUAUAAGCACUAACAUGAGGAGAUUAUUUAUUAGCAUCCAACACCAAUCCAAGUCUUCCAUACUGAUAAUGCACCUCAAGCUCUCUCCCUUCACCAUCAAAUCAAAAGCUUUAUUGAUUUCAGAGAAAGGCACUCGGUGAGUAAUAAACUUAUCGAACUCCAGUUUCUGUAGGAAAAGAUGAGAGAACUUUCGGUUGAUGAUGUGUUACCUGCUGUCCAUGAGUCAAUGACAGAAAAAUAAAAGGGAAGAAGUAAGAAAACUUGGACGCUAGUCUUUUACGUUGUUCAAGUACAUGUCAACAACAGGAGGGAGAUCACUCCGAGGUUUGUAGUUCCCAAAAAAUGUCCCCUUGAGCGUUCUUUCGUUGAGACAUGAAUGGGCAUUGUCAUGAAAACUGCAUCUUUGUUGGGGACUCCUACCAGCACAGCCACACUCCAUCCCUGCAAUUGCAAGAAUCACAAAGCAAAAGAUUGGUAGACAACUGAAGUCAAUUGACUAGUAUCGGAGGUAGGGUCGCAAUUCGUGUUCGCGGACAUGAUAGUGUCAGGUUGACAUAGGUCAACCUGAACAUGACAUAAAUAAUUAAUUGUGUCUGUCUACUUACGAUGAACACGAUCUGAAUAAUUUACGGGCAUGACCGUUAUGACGAAAUCAGCCCAUAAAUGUGAAACUGACACGAAACAUUCUCAAUUUUUUAUAAAUUUUAUUGACAAAAUGCAAUAAUCCAUCAACAAAAUAUCAUCAAACCAAAUUAAAAACAUGGUUAUAGUCAAUCAUAUCAUCAAUUUAAAAUCUUACUAGUGAAUAGCAUCGAAACCGUGUCUUUUAGCUAAUCAUGUCUAUUUGGGUCACAUAUCGUGUUAACAUUAGCCAGUUAAUUUAAAUGGGUCAUAUGAAUCAAUUUCAUGUUUGGCAAAUUGGACAAGAGUUAUGUCUCGUGAGAUGACACGAAAUUGACCCGAAUGUGAUUAAUCGCAACUCUAUCCCACUCACUUCGUGUUGUGUUCAAAUUGUGUAAUCGUGUGGCCUCAAUAAGUGCCGCCCCUAAUUAGAGGUCUGACAGAAGACGAGGGCUUGGGCUUGAGCAUUAAAAUGGUUUCGCCACUCAUCAGUUUCCAUGGAUGCAAUUUUGACAAAAUAAAUGAUCAGAGAAAUGCCUAGAACAGAAAAUGCCGCGGCGGUUGUCCUACUUACAUCAUGAACAUAUUCAAGAGCAGAAACCAUGGACAUUGAUGCUGCCAGUGCACUCCACACCCCUGUCAACACCACCAUUAGUCAUUUCAGUAAUAACUUGCACUCAAAGGAAGUCAAGUAAAAUCGAUUGGAAAAGCCCCUCUUUCUCAUACAUUUGGCCGAUGAACGAUAAAUAAGUAUAACCAUCUUAGAUGAAUUUCUGAUUAUCAAUAGAUUUUAGGAGGUCACGAGUUUGAAUCAUGCCAUGAGUGAAUCUCUAGACCGCAUGUGCCUACUCGAAGAGACAUUUCCUACCUUAUGUGAAGAAACAUUCUGAAUUUUGGUACACUGAUGGGACUACAGUGAUGAACUUACAUACUUAUAGGUAAGAUGAGUAAUUAUGAUUCCUUAUGGUGACGCCUAGCCUAGGUAGUUGCAUCAACCGUUCCUCCCCAUCCUUUUACCCAUAAAAGGGGGAAGAACUUCUCCGUCAUGGCUAGCAGACAGUCGUCCCGAUUCUAACAAUCCCACUGCGGAGGUUUGAUUGCCAUCCUUGGUCAAUGUCAAGGUAAAGCCAUGAGCAAGUGGUUGUCGAUCACGGCUCAGAAAGAAAUCCUGAUCAAUUCAAAACGGUCAUCGGAAAGUUGGGUCGGAGAGAAAUGGAAGAAAAAAUAAAAGCGUGGAGGGCCGAAAUCGAAAAAAAAAGAGGCCGCAAUGCUUAAUGCAUGAAGGCUCUAAACGAGCUUUUGGGAUAGUACUUGCGCUGCUUAAUACUUCACAUCAAUUGAUAUGGAUGGUUAUCAACAGAUAUGCAAAAUUCAUGUCUUCGAACAAAUCUACAUUUUGUUCAAGUAAUUUUAUGUGAAUAUUUUUAAAUUACAUAAUUUAAUCUCGAAACGAGAAAAACGAGAAAUUUUCCUAAAGAUAUUGAACUUCUGAACCUUAGCCCAAUUUCGAACCUAGGCCCAUUACUCUCCAUUCGAGGGCAGAAUGCAUGCCUCUCUCGUUUGCAAAUUUGCUCUGUAACAGUUUCCGUGGCUAAUCAGAUUUCCGAACUACAUGUUGAAAUUUUUAAAUUGGGUCAAGAAAUUUUCAAAGCAAGCACCAAUCCAAUGAAUAAAAUCACAAGUCCAACCGAAAAUUUUCAUGUGUCAUCGGUCCGACUCAUGCUAGUAUGAAAAACAGCGUGUUUGGGAGAGAUUUAAGAAAAUGCCUUCACAUAAAUACAAAGGACUUUAGGAUAAAAGAUUUUGAUGAAAUGCAAAUGAUUAAAAUAUGAAAAAGGAAACCUUAGCUCAGCGGCGUCUGAGGGUUGCGGAUCAGGCGCCGUUCCAUUAAAGGUCACAUGCCGACAACGGAUCCAACUUACCGGGGGUCAGAUUUGGGCUCGUCCACCACGUCGUGCAAGUUUGCCUAGAUAAAAUGGUGAGGGCAAAUCUAAAACUUAGAUAUUUUAGUGAGGCCAAAGUAGGAAAAAAGAAAAUCUAACAAUUCGAAAAUGCUCAAACCAAUAAGUGGAUAGGUUUCUGACAAAAAAAAAAUGAAUAGGACUUGCAUUGGGCUAAAAGCUUUUAGAAAUGCUAAUUUUGAUUAUGACGCCUUUAAAAUUUUCUUGCCAAACAUAUCAAUUUUGGUUCAAUGUCUUCAUAGGUCUAAAGCCCAUUUUAAAUGAUAUGUGAACCGCAGCCUAGGUCCCUUUAUAAAUUAGAAAUAUCUAUCUAUAUAAUUCGAAAUAAAACUCUUACUCGAUAUAUGUUGAACACCCCAAUCUUGGUGGAAAGGAAAUUUGACUGGGUUUCAAAUCCCCUUCAAGCCUUUUGGACGUCAUUAUGUUUUGAAGGCCACUUGAUAUAUUAUGGCAAUCCAACCGUUUGAAAUUGAAAGAAUUAUCACCGAUCAAAAAAAAAAAAAUGACACCUUAAUCUUCUCUUCACUUAUACAAACAAAGAUUCUAAUAUAUCUCGAUACCUUAUGAUUAUGUUUGGUCAUCUAGAUUUCUAACUAAAAUAAGAUUACAGGAGAUAGGAUAUGAAUCCAAAGAUUUUGCUAUAUCAUAUUCAUUAUUUUGUGAAUCAUAAUAAUAAAAUCUAAUAUACUCACAUCAUAUCAUAUACUUUUUUUUGGAUAUAAACAACGUAUCAAUGUAAAUGAACAUAAAAAUUUAUGGAGAUGAUAAAAAAUCUCUUGUGACACUAUUCCCUAAUUUAUUUUUAUUUUAUUUUUCCUGUCUUUUUAAUUAUUUUAGUUAUUAUUAUUUUUCCCCUUCCAUCACUUUCUAAUGAAAAAUUAUUAAAUAGUAAACUAUACUAAUAUACAUAAAAUACCAAACUACCUAAAUAUGUAUUAAAUAUAAAUAUAUAUUUAUAUUUAUAUAUUGAAUUUACAUCAUAAAAUAGAAUUAAAGUCAAAUGUAUAAAUUAAAAAGAUUAAAUUAUAAUAUGUAGUAAAUAUAAAUUUGUUCUUUUGAAUUUCUUAUAUUAUAAUUCAAAUACUAUUUAUAUUGAAAUUUUGUUAAUUUAAUAAGUUUUUUAUUAAAAAAAAAAACUUUCCUAUUAUGGAUAUUAUAAAUCAUAUUCACAUUUAUCUCACUUCUCUCAUGGAUUAAUUUAAUUCAACCUAUAUCCCGUUUAUAUCCAACUUUAUCUUAUCUUAAGUAAGCACCAAACGCGGAAUUUAAUAAAUUUUAUCAUAUUUCAAAUUUUAUCUUUACUACUAAAUGCAACCUAAUAGUUCUUUAAAAAAUCAAAUGAUAUCUAGUGAAAAAUACAAAUAUGAUUUUUUUCGUUGAUUCGUUCUUUGAAAGCCCAACAAAAAAGCUUUUGUUGGAAUUCAAAUGACUUUUUUCUGUAAAGGAAGUUUCUGUUUCUUUUCCAAUAAGUAAAUUUUGUAAAAAAUCAAAAUCAUCUCUGAAGUACAUAAAUUAAAGCAUAGAGAUGCUCCUAUAGUACUAUAUUUUCGUACCAUAAAAAGUUUUAUAAAAGCUUACGACAUGACUGCAACACGCGGCUUAAUAACUCUCUCAAAAAUCGAAUGAUAUCUCAGUGAAAAAUGCAAAUUUGAUUUUUUUCAUUGAUUAAUUCUUUUAAAGCCCAACGAAAAAGAGUUUGUCGAAAUUCAAAUGACUUCACUCUUUUCUAUAAAGUUGGUUUCUAUUUCUUUUCCGAUAAGUAAAUUUUGCAAAAAGGCAAAAUCAUCUAUGAAUUACAUAUGUUGAAGCAUAGAGAUUCUCCCAUGGUACCACAUUUUUGUACCAAAAAAAGUUUUACAAAAACUCACAACAUACUAUCCAAUGCAGCCUAAUAAUUCUUUCAAAAAUCAAAUGAUAACUCAGUGAAAAUUGCAAAUACGAUUUUUUUUCAUUGAUUCGUUCUUUAAAGCCCAACGAAAAAGCAUUUGUUGGAAUUCAAAUGACUUCACUCUUUUCUAUAAAGUUAGUUUCUAUUUCUUUUCCAAUGAGUAAAUUUUGCAAAAAACCAGAUUCAUCUCUGAAGUACAUAGGUUGAAGCAUAGAGAUGCUCUUAUAGUACUGCAUUUUCGUACGAAAACUAGUUUAACAAAAGCUCACAAUAUGACCCCUUAAAUCAUCAAUUAAUCUAUUCUACAUUAGCCUAAAUUAAGGGAUAAUCAACCAAGAUCAAAAAAUCAACCAUCAAAAGUCCGUCAACUCUCUAGAUUCAAAAUAGCCGGAAAAUCUUGCGGAUAUUCGCAUAUGCCCGACAUUACUAUCAUUAUUAUUUUUUUUGCCCUAGUCGACCAUACAUUGUAGGACCCCCUUGGAUCAAAGUGAAUAUGGCUUAAAGUAAUUCAAAUCUCCAUUUCAAUCCUAUCCAUGGUGGGGAUCCUAUGUUUUGUCACAAAUAAUUGAGAUUUGGCUAAUGAUUGCAACACCCCCCCCCCCCACCCCCUCUUUCUCCCUCCAUCGUUCAGCCGCGUGCACCAUGACCCCUCUCCAAAGAUUUUAUUCCCACUACUUCAUGAAUCAUCGCCUAUAAAGUCUUUGCCCUGGCCCCGCCUAACUUUGACUAUAAUUGGAGGAAAAAUCUCCUAAUUUUGACGAGAGUCGAGGAUUUUAGAAGGGUGGCCGCUAUAUAAUUAGAUGCGAUAGAGAGCACGUUCUUUAGGACUUUUGAAAGUAAGCCUGAUCUCAGAUGCCGAGUACCAAUUAGACUUGGAUCGAAAGCCUAUCGAGCUGAUGAAAUCUUCAUAGAGGUCAGCAGUAAAGAGGAGUUAUGUUUGAAGCCAUCAACGAUCAGAAGUUAGUUGACUUGAUAAUUCGAACUUUUUCGUCGAUGUCUUUGUUAUAAUGUUUGGAUAGAGUGAUGGAGUUAUGUAGCCUGAUAAAAGAAAAUAAUAUUUGAGUGCACAAAUAAUUUGUUGUGAGUAAAUACAUUUCAGUAGGUUGCACAUUCUAUCAUAUUAAAACCGAUGAGGCAUUUAGUAUAAUAAACUCAUGCAAUAUAUAGGGGCAAUAUCUUAUUUGGAAUUUUAGAGUUUGUAAUGCUGAUAUUGAUAAUAGAGAGAGUGCUUAGUGCAAUAACAUGAUUUUUCAUGUAAAUAUUCUUCUUUAUUUUUCCUCUUUAUAUUUUCCUUCAAAGAUUCAUAUUCUUAAUGUAUAAUAUCUAGGAAAACCCAAAAGGUGGAUUUAUAAUUUUUGAGUAAAUAAAAGUAGGGUUAAUACCAAACGCUAAUAUUAGAAAUAAUUAGUGUGCUGCAAAAGUUUAUUAGCAUUUCCAUAAAGGGAAAAUUAUAAUAUAAAUGCGGGUCGUUGAAAAGGAGGAGGGGGGACCAACGCCAAGGCUCAGCCACUAAUAAAGCUGUUUGCUUCAAGACAGUAUGUCUGCCACAAAUCAGACAAGAGUCGUCAUAACGUCUCGCUAGCCGUUUAUUUUCUUUUUCUUUUUUUCCUUUUUUGUCAUUUUCUCUAUUGCCACAAAAAAUAUUUUUUACUUAAUUGUAAUUAACCUCUCCAAGACCCCCAACAAAUAAUAAUAAUAAUAAUAAUAAUAAUUUUGAAAAAUUGAAGACAGCCGAGUACAGCGGCGGAAGAGCCGUUGGGAACGUGAUGGAUUGGUCCUUUGUUCGUGACACGACGUGACCUGCGGUAGACGUUAGAGGCAAUUUCAGAGCAGAAGUCACAUAUUUGGUUCAAGAGAUUUCCUAGAAUUACGGCAUUUUUAGUGUAUGAUCAAGGGAAUAGGAUACAAAUGAUUCAUAAAUUCUGAUAUAAUAUAUAAUAUGGUCUAUAAAUUUUUAGUUUAUUUUAACGAAGAUCCUGAUUUUUUUAAAAAUCUGUUCAAUCUAGCCGCAAACUAAAUGAAUGUUGUGUUUGAAUUUAAAUUUAUGAAAAAAAAAUAUUAAACAUCUUUUUACAAUCUAGAGAUUCAAUUGAAUAUUUAGUAAAAGUUUAGAGACUUUAUUCCAUAAUGAAUAAAAUAAAAAGUUAAAGAUUAUUUAUAUCACUAUCCAUUUAAUUACUAUGUUUACUGUGUUAAGUUUUAUUACUUACUAAGGUGUCAUGAAAAACUUUAUGCUAAUAUAUUUAUGACAAAUUUAUCCCAAAAUAAUUUAUUAACAAUCGAUAUUUCAAUAUUUGUACAUUUGUGGUGAAAUUACAAUUUAUUAUUUUUCAUUAAAUUUUAUUAUCAGUUUGAGAUUUUAUUGCUAAGUUGGAUUAUAUACGUUUAUGUCACAGGUCAAUAGUUUCUUUGGCCACGGAUUAACCCAUAUAGCACUAGGCCAACUUUUAUUCUAUAAUUGUUCUAAUGAAUAAUAUGACAAAUAGCUCUUUUCAUACAAGAUCGUACCACGCCCAGCUUAGUUCGAACGUCUAGUCGAGCGAGAUAGCAGCUCUCUUUAAAUUCAACAACUGGUUUUAACCUGCUAUGGCCUUAUCGAGAGAAUAGCAUCAACCCCAACCAAUUUUGUGCGCAGGAAACCAAUCCCACUUUCGAAGCUUAUAAGUAAUAUUAUCAUUCUAUCCUAGAAAUCCAAGCAUCAACCGUCUUGACGCCAUUCCCACGAAUUAGUUGUAUUUAUCCUCUAUGCGCCCUCGCUUUUCACUUCGCUUUUCACUUGAUAACCUCACAGCUACGGGAAAAUCACGGAUCAUGUCAUUUACACUCAAUUUACCAUAAAUGUACUAAUUUGUACCAAUUUGUGUUUCUUCAUGAUAAUUAACAGAUGAUAAAAUUUGUCACAAAUCAUUUUUGAUGAUUAAAAGAAUAAUUUGGAGUUUGGAAUUUACAGAUAAAUUCAGCUAGGGUUUUUGAGUAUACAUAAUUUUUAUUCCUGUCCGGAUAAAUUUUACCUCUGAAUUGAUGACACGAAAUUAAGAAUUUUUCUGUAUCGUCUCCUUUGUGCAUGUCCUUUCAGCAGAUCACGUUUUAUUUAUGAGUUGGCGAAUUUUUCCGUAUCGUCUCAUCAGUGCAUAUGUCCUUUCAGUGGGUCACGUUUUAUUUAUGAGUUGGCAUUUAUGCUAAUCCCAUCUCUCGCCGCCAAGGUCGCUAGCGGUUCGACCACAAGUUGCCGGAGCUAUGGUCCGAGAACGAUCACGGGGGCGGCGGUGCCAAGGAACGAAGGCAACCGCAACGCUUAAAUUACUCUUUGGAAGUACGCUCGCUAACACAUGAUUUCCAUCAAAAGAGACCAACUUAAGCCAGUUACUGAACUCCACUCACUAUCAUCAACAUUCAUCAAACGACAUCAAUCAUCUUCAACCUUCUAAGAAAACCCCACAACAGGGUGUUCAUAGUCUCAGACAAGGAAGUUUUCAUUAACACAUUAUCUAGAAACAUUACACGACGAACAUCAUCGGAGCCGCGGGAGCAGCUUUCUUUCAGUGCUUGCAUUGCGGCUCGAAGGCGAAGGGGCCGACGGUGAAGACCGUGUAGGGGAGCUUGUCGAUCAUGACGGGCUUCUCCGGCCUGAGGACCGCGCCGACGGUGCCGCCGUGGAGGGCGGAGGGCUUCUGGCACGAGGGGACCGGCGACGAGGCGAGGGACGCCAUGCACUUGUGGAAGGCGUAGGUUGUGAUGGUCUUGGGGGCCUUGAGGAAGAAGUAGCCGUUCUUGUCGGUCUUCGCCGUCUGCACGGUGGGUCGGUACUUGGUGUUGUUGCAUUCCAGCUUCACGACGGCACCUGCAAAGAACGAAACCUCGUCGUCAAAACGACAAGAUCUUGGGGGAAAAAAAGGGAGAUCGAGAAAAUUCACUGAAACAUAAUCUUGAAAACUUUCAAAUGUCUAGAAUUUAGGGUUGUUGACAAUUUUUUUUCGCUUAAAUGGCGAAAAGGGUUAUGAUUAGUAUUCCCAAGAAAUGAAUAAAUAAAUUUGGAAAAACGGGUGUAUGGCCAUUGGCCAAAAUUCAAACUUUCAUAAAGUGUGGGGGAAAGUUGACAAGACACGUUUUAGGGCAGAGAGAGAGAAAGGAGAUGCGUCCAUAUUUUUCAGUCCCUUUUUCAGACAUCGAUGAAAGAGAAAGGUCGGGCCUCGUUAACCUAACUUCGCUCUUACCGAGAAAUAUGAGACAUUGGGGAAAAACAAGAAAUUACCACAACACCAUAAAGAAAAAAAUACAGCACUAGAACCCAGAGAGAGAGAGAGAGAGAGAGAGAGUAAUAAUAAUGUCCGCCAGUUAAAAAUGGGUAUUAUGUCUAUAUGUUUCCUUUUUCCUUUUUGCUUCUUUAUAUGCACUGAAACCCUAAGAAAGGAUGGAAAUUUAGCAAGUUCAUAACAUUAGUCCAACAUGCAAAAUACAGAAGGAUAAAGAGGAAAAAGAAAAUGGUGGGUUUUUGGCUUUUGAAACUGAGGGAAAAAUGGCAAGACUUUUGGGGAAAAUGUAAAAGAAAACUGACCAAGAACUGGAGUAGCUCCCAGGAGAGUUUCGACCCCGGAGUACUUGCACGACUUGCAGUACACCACCCCCUGGACGGCUAUGAACCGCCGGCCCAUGGGGGCCACGGGGGGGUGGACGGGCGGGUGGACCGGCACGUGGGGCGGCGCGUGGGCCGGAGCGUGGGACGNNNNNNNNNNNNNNNNNNNNNNNNNNNNNNNNNNNNNNNNNNNNNNNNNNNNNNNNNNNNNNNNNNNNNNNNNNNNNNNNNNNNNNNNNNNNNNNNNNNNGAUUUAUAGGAGUUUUAAUGCAUGAAUCUGUGCGGCUUCUCUCAUGAGAAAAGCCCCUCUUUUUCUUUUUCUUUUUUCUCUAUUUUACCUUUUUCUUGUUCUUGUUUUUAUUUGGGUGGGGGCAGACAGGGGUCUAGAGUAGUCCUCGGUCGAGAAAAGAACAGAAGAAAAGAACGGCUCAAGUAAUUUAAAAAUAAUUGUGACCAAGUAAAAAGGGGAGAAAAUUUUGGCUGGGGUUGGCUGUGUAGUAUGUAUUGUAAGGGUAAUUUAAUAGAGUUAAAAAAAAAAAAAAACAGGAGGGAAGACACUUUUGGGUUAAUAAAUGACGUAGAAAAGCGGCUUCGGAUUAUUUCGAGUGAACCAUAAAGAGAUUUUGAAUUAAUGAACUAAUUGGUUUGAUUUUCCAUUUUUCGAAUCCAACGUGAAAUAUUGCGAUAUAAAUAUUCCUUUAGAGAGACCAUAUCAAUUUAAUAGAGAGCAUUUUCAAACUCUAUUAGACUCGAGUGCUCAAAAGAAGGGUAAGGCCAGGAAAACGGGCUGAGGAUGACUGAGGUUUACGUGUAGAAUACACAAUAACUUCCAUCAUUAUAAUUAUUGCUCCCAGAAUUCCUGCCUCCAGCGGAUGUGAAUUCUUACUAAAUCAGUUUCUAUAGAAUGCGCGAUGUCGACGGCUCAAGGUAGAGCAUUCAAUUGGUCAUGGUGACUACAUUUGCCUUCACUAGCCUCGGGGAGAGCAGUGAUAAGGGUCUAAAUUUCCGUUGCAAACACAAACGACAAAAACAAAUUUCAUUUUUGUGAAGAGAACGAUGUGCAUUCAAGAAGAGGCUCGAAAAGGGGAUCAAACUGGUGAAAGCGCUUUUCAUUAAGAAAGGGAAAUUGGAAGAGCUUGAAAUACUUAGAUAACUAUCAGUAAAAAAAUAAAAAAUAAAAAGAGGGUCGGUCGACACUCUCAUCCAUUCCUAUCGGCUCCUUUAUUUCAUUCUUUGCUCCUUUUAUCAAUGAAGCACAUUUAUGCUAGAGGUAAUCAUGGGUUUGAUGGCCCGCCUAAGCCUAAUGACGUGAAACGUGAAAGGGACGAGUCUAGACAAGCAAUUCCCUUCCUGAGCCCGACACGUUCAAGCCAUUAUCGAUUUCGUGUAGAAAAGAUAAUAACCCUUUGAUCAAGCGGCCAGCUCAUGAAGGGUAUCGAUGCCACGCCGUUAUCAGUCAGGAGAGCAACACCAAAGUAAUUCUUAAGUAGUUGUCAGCGGCCUACAAGAAGGCCAUGAUUGAGCACUGCUUCUAGGGAAUGAUCGAUCCCUCAUGGAACUUUGCAGAAGCUAAUGUAGCUAGGGCACCUCUCUUGCCUCAGCAGCCCAUUUCUCCAUGAAGGAGAUAGUAGUAAUCAUAGGCAAAGCUAAUCCCAUCUAAAGUAGCAAGAGAAGGGACAGAACCCCCAUCCAUGACGAUGAAGAGAACGUGUUGUGUUAUCAAACCGUAUCCGAGGCUAUUGAGAAGUGGGGACUGGGAUUGGAGCACGAAAAGCAAAAGCCGGAGUGUUCGGUAAUAAUGAUGGCGACCAGUACAGCAGCAGAGACUUUCGCGGGCAAGUUAAUAUUAUACGAGACGAGAAGUCACGGCACAAGUCUGUCCACUUCUGUCUCUCUUUUUUUUUUCGUUUUGCCAUCUGGUGCAAAAAGAUUAAUUAUUAUUCAUCAGUAAGCUUUGAGUCAAAAUAUGUUUUCCCGCCGCGCAUAAUGAUCAAGGUUCCAUUUGAUCAAGUGCUUUGCUCGGACAUUAUAUUAAUCAUUGAUUAGUCGUGCAUAGUUCACGUAAACCUUCCUGCAACGUUCAAUCUUAUUCAAUGAUUCUAAUUUCUAAUGAGGGUUUUCCAUUUCGUGCCAUGGGACCAUCCGUAGUACCUUGGAAUAUUGUACCUUGACAUAAGAGUUGUAAUACAUCACCAACCGGUCAUAAUGUUGUCACGCACGGACAAGUAAUUUAUUGAAUGGUAGUUUGCAUCGCAUGAAAUUUGACUUAUUUUUGCCCUUCCACAGAGUUCCAACAUUUGGAACUACAAAAGAGUGAACAUGGAAAGGGCUGGGGUUAAUCAAUUGAUUCAAGAAAAGAUGUGCGGAUCUCCAUUACUUCAUGAAUUAUUUUUUUGCAAAUCGGUCUCUCGACCGUUUGUUUUUGUCGGUGUCGAACAGAGAAUACGUUAUGGAACGCAGACAAAAACAGAGCCAAGCUUUGAGGGAAAGGAAGUACGAUAUGAUGAUGUCUAACAUGAGAGGAUAGAAAGCAAAGUAAAAGGAGUAAAGGGGUGUCGGAGGGUGCCCUUUUUAGCACGUGUAAAAGGCAUUGAGGAUAAGGGGAAGCUUCACUUCAGAUGGCACGAAGCACAAAGUAGCAAUGCAAGGCAGGGAAAAGAUACAAAAAAU
This 38263-nucleotide long non-coding RNA is filed under the name Eucalyptus grandis. Its description in RNAcentral is "long non-coding RNA (EGRA_LNC002217)". The record is from RNAcentral. Lineage: Eukaryota; Viridiplantae; Streptophyta; Magnoliopsida; Myrtales; Myrtaceae.